GUGAGAGGCAAAGGCAUCGCGGAGUAGUAAGUCACCCCGUUUAAGAUCCAGGUGCCCGAGCGGCAGAGUGAGGGUCCUCAGCAUUGUCAGAGUUUGUCGGAGAUUACAAGGUAGCUGCAUGGCGUCCGCAACCCUGCUUUCUUCCUCUUAUCCUUGUUUUCCCGCAUUUUAGACUUGUUAUAUAUUAGACAGUCAAAUUUGUAUAUUUAGAGGCUCUAGACUCGUGACACCGGAUGUUUGGUCUGUGUUGGUUUAAUGUUUUUAUUGAUUUCCGCAUAUUUUUAGCUGUUUUAUACAUUUUUUUAUGAAAAUUGAGAUUUAAA
Molecule: non-coding RNA, 323 nt
Organism: Nicotiana tabacum (common tobacco)
Lineage: Eukaryota; Viridiplantae; Streptophyta; Magnoliopsida; Solanales; Solanaceae
Source: RefSeq, a predicted model, not a curated record